UACGGGGGGGGCAAGCGUUGUUCGGAAUUACUGGGCGUAAAGGGCUCGUAGGCGGCCAACUAAGUCAGACGUGAAAUCCCUCGGCUUAACCGGGGAACUGCGUCUGAUACUGGAUGGCUUGAGUUUGGGAGAGGGAUGCGGAAUUCCAGGUGUAGCGGUGAAAUGCGUAGAUAUCUGGAGGAACACCGGUGGCGAAGGCGGCGUUCUGGACUGCAACUGACACUGAUGAACGAAAGCCAGGGGAGCAAACGGG
This 253-nucleotide ribosomal RNA is filed under the name uncultured bacterium. RNAcentral's name for it is "partial 16S ribosomal RNA". It matches the Rfam family "Bacterial small subunit ribosomal RNA", at positions 524 to 776 of the family's 1533-position model. The record is from RNAcentral.